GAUGAACGCUGGCGGCGUGCCUAAUACAUGCCAGUCGAGCGAACAGAUGAGGAGCUUGCUCCUUUGACGUUAGCGGCGGACGGGUGAGUAACACGUGGGUAACCUACCUAUAAGACUGGGAUAACUUCGGGAAACCGGAGCUAAUACCGGAUAACAUUUGGAACCGCAUGGUUCUAAAGUGAAAGAUGGUUUUGCUAUCACUUAUAGAUGGACCCGCGCCGUAUUAGCUAGUUGGUAAGGUAACGGCUUACCAAGGCGACGAUACGUAGCCGACCUGAGAGGGUGAUCGGCCACACUGGAACUGAGACACGGUCCAGACUCCUACGGGAGGCAGCAGUAGGGAAUCUUCCGCAAUGGGCGAAAGCCUGACGGAGCAACGCCGCGUGAGUGAUGAAGGGUUUCGGCUCGUAAAACUCUGUUAUUAGGGAAGAACAAACGUGUAAGUAACUGUGCACGUCUUGACGGUACCUAAUCAGAAAGCCACGGCUAACUACGUG
This 497-nucleotide ribosomal RNA is filed under the name uncultured bacterium. Its description in RNAcentral is "partial 16S ribosomal RNA". It matches the Rfam family "Bacterial small subunit ribosomal RNA", at positions 28 to 507 of the family's 1533-position model. The record is from RNAcentral.